GUAUCCCCUAGAGUUCCUCUGAGCACUUCAUUGAUUACUCCUUUAACCCUUAAAUUUAGGGCAUAGGAAGCUCACUGAAGUGUUUGGAGGAACUCCUGGAGUUAC
This is a microRNA precursor of Ipomoea nil (Japanese morning glory), 105 nucleotides long. It matches the Rfam family "mir-395 microRNA precursor family". Rfam says of the family: mir-395 was identified in both Arabidopsis thaliana and Oryza sativa computationally and was later experimentally verified. mir-395 is thought to target mRNAs coding for ATP sulphurylases. The mature sequence is excised from the 3' arm of the hairpin. The record is from Rfam. Lineage: Eukaryota; Viridiplantae; Streptophyta; Magnoliopsida; Solanales; Convolvulaceae.